UGUGCAUAUUUGGUGGAUCGAUAUUUGUUCUUGUGGCAGUUACGGUUCAGUCGACUCUCUCGAAACUCUCUCAGGGCAUCAUCAUUGUUGAUCUUCAAGUCAGUUGGUUCGGUGGUAGCAACGUUUGUUUAUCGUAGUGAACCACACAUAUAGCAGGCCUGGCUUACAAAUCCUUUUAGAAGAUCCAAAGUUCAUGGUGUAGAAAAGGAUAUUGUUGAAGAUGGACUUCACUUUUGGAUAAGAUGUAGUGCAACAUCUCCCACAUCUCAUGAUGUUGCUGAUGCCUAAGACCUCCCCUCUAAAAGACAUGUGCCUCUACCAAGUGAGCUAGCC
Molecule: long non-coding RNA, 333 nt
Organism: Helianthus annuus (common sunflower)
Lineage: Eukaryota; Viridiplantae; Streptophyta; Magnoliopsida; Asterales; Asteraceae
Exons: 4
Source: RefSeq, a predicted model, not a curated record